UAGGGAAUCUUCCGCAAUGGGCGAAAGCCUGACGGAGCAACGCCGCGUGAGUGAAGAAGGAUUUCGGUUCGUAAAGCCCUGUUGUUAGGGAAGAAUGAUUGUGUAGUAACUAUACACAGUAGAGACGGUACUUAACCAGAAAGCCACGGCUAACUACGUGCCAGCAGCCGCGGUAAUACGUAGGUGGCAAGCGUUGUCCGGAAUUAUUGGGCGUAAAGCGCGCGCAGGUGGUUUAAUAAGUCUGAUGUGAAAGCCCACGGCUCAACCGUGGAGGGUCAUUGGAAACUGUUAAACUUGAGUGCAGGAGAGAAAAGUGGAAUUCCUAGUGUAGCGGUGAAAUGCGUAGAGAUUAGGAGGAACACCAGUGGCGAAGGCGGCUUUUUGGCCUGUAACUGACACUGAGGCGCGAAAGCGUGGGGAGCAAACAGGAUUAGAUACCCUGGUAGUCCACGCCGUAAACGAUGAGUGCUAAGUGUUGGUCUCAUAAGAGAUCAGUGCUGCAGCUAACGCAUUAAGCACUCCGCCUGGGGAGUACGACCGCAAGGUUG
This 548-nucleotide ribosomal RNA is filed under the name uncultured bacterium. RNAcentral describes it as "bacterial SSU rRNA". It matches the Rfam family "Bacterial small subunit ribosomal RNA", at positions 355 to 896 of the family's 1533-position model. The record is from RNAcentral.